AUGGCUGCACAGAACCAGCAGGGAAGCAGCCUUCUCUAGGAUGGAAGGUGAUUGGCUGGUUGCCUCCUGUUGCUGGACAGCGUGUCUCUCUCCUCCUCCUAUCAUCCUGACAUCUAGCGGACAAUUAUUCGAAAUCCAGAGGAGCAGCUUGGAGGAAGGAACACAUCAAGGCUAAAUCCUCCCUCCCUUCAGGACCAGCCCAAGACAUUUUUGCUGCUUAAGAAGAUUUCUCAAACUUGCACUUUACCAGAGAGAUACAAAACUGUACAGUGGCCACUGAGGAAUUAUCUCCAUAGCACGCUGUUUAUCCUAAGGUUUUGCAGAGCACUAUUCAACUUAUUUGCAUCAUCAAGGAGCUCUCGGACGUUUGAUGUAAAAGCUGGUUGUGGGGAAAAAGCAAUGCCUCAGCAAUGCUAAAAUGCUCUAAUGGAAAAGUCGUCACUGUCUGGGAAAACACGCACACACAUGGGAGGACAACAGACAAAACAUUGGAAUGCAAUUGGCUGACAACAGGAGCCCCUGUCAGGCACUACAAAUCUGGUGAAAUAAACACAUGAGGAGAGCAGCAGGGAAAACCAUCACGAACUACAAAAAAAAAUGUCCAGCCUUAAUCUACCAACCUGGCUCAAUGGGUGCUAACCAUGAUGGCUACAUGCAACCUCUCCCAAGAUCAGAGGACAUAUGCUACUGAAUAAUACCAGUUGCUGGAAGCAACAGCAGGAGCAACAACAGAGAAUAAUUGUCCAUGUUCUGCUUGAGGGCUUCUCCAACUAGGAUGUUGGACUAUAUGGACUUGUCUGAUCCAUCAGGGCUGCUCUUUAUGUUCUUCUGAGUUAUGUUAUAAUCUUAUGUUAAAGAUUAGGGAGAUAAUGUAUGUGAAGCAUAGGGUCGCCAGAUGAAAAGACGGUAAGUCUGCUGCACCUUUAACAGUUGUGUAAAAGAGGGUAUUUCAGCUGAUGUAACUUAUCCCCUGAAGCACUUUGAAGAGCCCUAAAAAUGCAGUUAUCAGAUUGGACAGCAUAAAGUGUGUCUGUGUGUCAAGUAUGCUCUGCCUAUUGUGACUUCUAUCUCAGUCCUAACUCCACCUGCUCUUGACUGCUGUGCCCUGUCCCUUGCCCCACAAGUCUCAGUGGACACCAGCCACUACUGAUUACAACUACACCAGGCCAUUAUAUCUGCUGCUUCUAGAGGCACGUGAAUAAAGCAAAGUUAGUAUCUCUAUUGCACUCCCUUUUGUUACUCACUGCACUUUCCCCACUGGCUAUC
Molecule: long non-coding RNA, 1266 nt
Organism: Rhineura floridana
Lineage: Eukaryota; Metazoa; Chordata; Lepidosauria; Squamata; Rhineuridae
Exons: 4
Source: RefSeq, a predicted model, not a curated record